This 541-nucleotide ribosomal RNA is filed under the name uncultured bacterium. RNAcentral describes it as "bacterial SSU rRNA". It matches the Rfam family "Bacterial small subunit ribosomal RNA", at positions 777 to 1320 of the family's 1533-position model. The record is from RNAcentral.
AAUAGAUACCCUGGUAGUCCACGCCCUAAACGAUGUCUACUAGUUGUCGGGGGGUAACUCCUUCGGUAACGCAGCUAACGCGUGAAGUAGACCGCCUGGGGAGUACGGUCGCAAGAUUAAAACUCAAAGGAAUUGACGGGGACCCGCACAAGCGGUGGAUGAUGUGGAUUAAUUCGAUGCAACGCGAAAAACCUUACCUACCCUUGACAUGCCACUAACGAAGCAGAGAUGCAUUAGGUGCCCGAAAGGGAAAGUGGACACAGGUGCUGCAUGGCUGUCGUCAGCUCGUGUCGUGAGAUGUUGGGUUAAGUCCCGCAACGAGCGCAACCCUUGCCAAUAGUUGCUACGAAAGGGCACCCUAUUGGGACUGCCGGUGACAAACCGGAGGAAGGUGGGGAUGACGUCAAGUCCUCAUGGCCCUUAUGGGUAGGGCUUCACACGUCAUACAAUGGCUGGUACAGAGGGUUGCCAACCCGCGAGGGGGAGCCAAUCCCACAAAACCCAGGUCGUAGUCCGGAUUGCAGUCUGCAACUCGACUGCA